UCCACCAUGGCCUGGUCCCCUCUCCUCCUCAGCCUCCUUGCUCACUGCACAGGGUCCUGGGCCCAGUCUGUGCUGACUCAGCCGCCCUCAGCGUCUGGGGCCCUGGGCCAGAGGGUCACCAUCUCCUGCACCGGCAGCAGCUCCAACAUCGGGGGUGGCAAUUAUGUGAACUGGUACCAGCAGCUCUCAGGAAAGGCCCCCAAACUCCUCAUCUAUGGUAACAGCAAUCGGGCCUUGGGGAUCCCUGAUCGCUUCUCUGGCUCCAAGUCUGGCAGCUCGGCCUCCCUGACCAUCACUGGGCUCCAGCCUGAGGACGAGGCUGAUUAUUACUGUCAGUCCUAUGACAGCAACCUUGGUGCUCGCACAGUGCUCCAGGCCAGCAGGGAA
Non-coding RNA from Galeopterus variegatus (Sunda flying lemur), 387 nucleotides. The record is from the annotation of a RefSeq genome assembly. NCBI's taxonomy places the organism in Eukaryota, Metazoa, Chordata, Mammalia, Dermoptera, Cynocephalidae.